This 253-nucleotide ribosomal RNA is filed under the name uncultured bacterium. RNAcentral's name for it is "partial 16S ribosomal RNA". It matches the Rfam family "Bacterial small subunit ribosomal RNA", at positions 524 to 776 of the family's 1533-position model. The record is from RNAcentral.
UACGGAGGGUGCAAGCGUUGUUCGGAAUUACUGGGCGUAAAGCGCGUGUAGGCGGUUAUCCAAGUCGGGUGUGAAAGCCUUGAGCUCAACUCAAGAAAUGCACUCGGUACUGGGUGACUAGAGGACCGGAGAGGAUAGUGGAAUUCCCAGUGUAGUGGUGAAAUACGUAGAGAUUGGGAAGAACACCAGUGGCGAAGGCGGCUAUCUGGACGGUUUCUGACGCUAAGACGCGAAAGCGUGGGGAGCAAACAGG